Molecule: ribosomal RNA, 235 nt
Filed under: uncultured bacterium
Lineage: Bacteria
Description: partial 16S ribosomal RNA
Rfam family: Bacterial small subunit ribosomal RNA
Source: RNAcentral
CGGCGGACGGGUGAGUAAUGUAUGGGGAUCUGCCUGAUGGCGGGGGAUAACUACUGGAAACGGUAGCUAAUACCGCAUAAUGUCUACGGACCAAAGCGGGGGACCUCCGGGCCUCGCGCCAUCAGAUGAACCCAUAUGGGAUUAGCUAGUAGGUGGGGUAACGGCUCACCUAGGCGACGAUCCCUAGCUGGUCUGAGAGGAUGACCAGCCACACUGGAACUGAGACACGGUCCAA